This 155-nucleotide unclassified non-coding RNA is filed under the name soil metagenome. RNAcentral's name for it is "partial internal transcribed spacer 1". The record is from RNAcentral.
GUGAAUAUGAAGGACGUUCAAUUUAACUUGAAGUCGCGAACUCUCACUCUCUAACCCUGUGCAUUUGUUUUGGUUAGUAGGAUCUUAGUAUAUCUGAACGCCCUCUUCAUUUUACAAACCAAAGUCUAUGAAUGUUUAAAUUUUAUAACAAAACA